GCUUAUGGCCACACCGCCUGGUUCACGGCUGAUCUCGUUUGAUCUCGGAAGCUAUGAUAGGUUGGGCCUGGUUAGUACUUUGAUGGGAGACCGCCUGGAAAUACCAGGUGUUGUAAGAU
Scophthalmus maximus (turbot) is the source of this 119-nucleotide ribosomal RNA. The record is from Ensembl. NCBI's taxonomy places the organism in Eukaryota, Metazoa, Chordata, Actinopteri, Pleuronectiformes, Scophthalmidae.